CAACCCUACGGGGGGCAGCAGUGGGGAAUAUUGCACAAUGGGGGAAACCCUGAUGCAGCAACGCCGCGUGAGUGAAGAAGUAUUUCGGUAUGUAAAGCUCUAUCAGCAGGGAAGAAAAUGACGGUACCUGAGUAAGAAGCCCCGGCUAACUACGUGCCAGCAGCCGCGGUAAUACGUAGGGGGCAAGCGUUAUCCGGAUUUACUGGGUUUAAAGGGUGCGCAGGCGGUCUGUUAAGUCAGCGGUCAAAGCCCGGGGCUCAACCCCGGCCCGCCGUUGAAACUGGCAGUCUCGAGGUGGAGAGAAG
RNAcentral lists this ribosomal RNA (305 nucleotides) under uncultured bacterium. RNAcentral's name for it is "bacterial SSU rRNA". It matches the Rfam family "Bacterial small subunit ribosomal RNA", at positions 334 to 657 of the family's 1533-position model. The record is from RNAcentral.